RNAcentral lists this ribosomal RNA (1356 nucleotides) under bacterium. RNAcentral's name for it is "bacterial SSU rRNA". It matches the Rfam family "Bacterial small subunit ribosomal RNA". The record is from RNAcentral.
AUGAGAGUUUGAUCCUGGCUCAGGAUGAACGCUGGCGGCGUGGAUAAGGCAUGCAAGUCGAGAGGGUUUAGACCCUCGGCGAACUGGUUAGUAAUACAUAGGAACGUACCUCAAAGUCAGGGAUAACCCAGAGAAAUCUGGGAUAAUACCUGAUAGUCUCUUCGGAGUAAAGAUUUAUCGCUUUGAGAUCGGCCUAUGUCCUAUCAGCUUGUUGGUGAGGUAAUGGCUCACCAAGGCUAUGACGGGUAGGGGACGUGAGAGCGUGACCCCCAACAUUGGCACUGAGACACUGGCCAAACACCUACGGGUGGCUGCAGUCGAGAAUAUUCGACAAUGCACGAAAGUGUGAUCGAGCGACGCCGCGUGCGGGAUGAAGGCCUUCGGGUUGUAAACCGCUUUUAUAAGGGAAGAAUUUAGAUGACUGUACCUUAUGAAUAAGGAGUUGCUAACUACGUGCCAGCAGCAGCGGUAAUACGUAGACUCCAAGCGUUAUCCGGAUUUAUUGGGCGUAAAGGGUGUGUAGGCGGAUAUAAUAGUCAGGUGUUAAAUCGCAGAGCUCAACUCUGCGGCCGCACUUGAAACGUUAUAUCUAGAAAUAAGUAGAGGUUAGCGGAACUCAUAGUGUAGCAGUGAAAUGCGUUGAUAUUAUGGGGAACACCAAAGGCGAAGGCAGCUAACUGGGCUUUAUUUGACGCUGAGGCACGAAAGCGUGGGUAGCGAAUGGGAUUAGAUACCCCAGUAGUCCACGCCCUAAACGAUGUACACUAAUCAUUGGGAGUUUCGACCCUCUCAGUGUUGUAGCUAACGCGUUAAGUGUACCGCCUGGGAAGUACGAGCGCAAGCUUAAAACUCAAAGGAAUAGACGGGGAUCCGCACAAGCGGUGGAGCAUGUGGUUUAAUUCGACAAUAAGCGAGGAACCUCACCAGGGCUAGACAUUCAGCUGCAUAUCUUUGGAAACAUUGAUAGCCUUCGAGGGUGCUGAACAGGUGUUGCAUGGUUGUCGUCAGCUCGUGCCGUAAGGUGUUCCAUUAAGUUGGGUAACGAGCGCAACCCCUACUGUGUGUUACAAGUGUCACACGGAACUGCCCCGCACUGAGUACAUUUUUUCAAAAAGUGUAUUUUGUGUGGGGAGGAAGGUGGGGAUGACGUCAAAUCAGCAUGGCCCUAGACGCCCUGGGCGACACACGUGCUACAAUGGCCGGUACAACGGGUUGCGAGAUCGCGAGAUCAAGCCAAUCCCUUAAAGCCGGUCCCAGUUCGGAUUGGAGUCUGCAACUCGACUCCAUGAAGUUGGAAUCGCUAGUAAUCCCGCAUCAGCCAUGGCGGGGUGAAUACGUUCCCGGAUCUUGUACUCA